Oryzias latipes (Japanese medaka) is the source of this 596-nucleotide non-coding RNA. The record is from RefSeq and is a predicted model, not a curated record. Lineage: Eukaryota; Metazoa; Chordata; Actinopteri; Beloniformes; Adrianichthyidae.
UUUUUUUGUGUAAGUGGAAGAGCAACAGGUGGAACUAAUAUGUAAUCAACAAGAACCACUCCAGGAGUGGUUCCUUUAGUGGUGACCACAGACAACUUCUCCAUCCUUGUUUUUUCUUGCUAAUGUUUUGGUGACUCUUGAAUGCUGACAGUGUUGUCACUCCAGCGGUACCAUGAGACGGCGUCUACAACCCACACAAGUGGCCCAGCCUUUAACAGGCAGACUGUAACCUCUCCACUAUGACCAAGAGCUUUCUGAGGAUCCAAGAACGAGAUUUUCUGCUAAGGGAAUAGAACAACACAUCUGUUUGAAGGAAAAAGAUGUCUGGGUAUUGGACAAAAGCCUCCGUCCAUCAAUGAGAGCAUUGAGGAUGCAACAUGGCUGGAUCUUUCAGCAGGACAAUGAUCCCAAACACAUCACCAUGGACCUGUGGACCUCAAUCUAAUAAAGAAUCUGAGGAGGGAGCUGAAAAUCCAGCAGCCCCAAAACAUCACAGCUUUAACCUCUGUCACUGAAACCAGGGUUACAUUAUGAAGUACUGAGCAAAUCUUAUUUUCUGCUUUACUUUAAAAAUAAAGUUUUUAUAAAUCAGAAAA